CAGCCGCCACGGGAAUACGAAGGGGGCUAGCGUUGCUCGGAAUCACUGGGCGUAAAGGGUGCGUAGGCGGGUCUUUAAGUCAGGGGUGAAGUCCUGGAGCUCAACUCCAGAACUGCCUUUGAUACUGAAGAUCUUGAGUAAGGGAGAGGUGAGUGGAACUGCGAGUGUAGAGGUGAAAUUCGUAGAUAUUCGCAAGAACACCAGUGGCGAAGGCGGCUCACUGGCCCAUAACUGACGCUGAGGCACGAAAGCGUGGGGAGCAAACAGGAUUAGAUACCCCUGUAGUCCCUGUCUCUUAUAC
This 301-nucleotide ribosomal RNA is filed under the name uncultured bacterium. Its description in RNAcentral is "partial 16S ribosomal RNA". It matches the Rfam family "Bacterial small subunit ribosomal RNA", at positions 509 to 807 of the family's 1533-position model. The record is from RNAcentral.